Molecule: ribosomal RNA, 478 nt
Filed under: uncultured bacterium
Lineage: Bacteria
Description: partial 16S ribosomal RNA
Rfam family: Bacterial small subunit ribosomal RNA
Source: RNAcentral
GACGAACGCUGGCGGCGUGCUUAACACAUGCAAGUCGAACGGUAAGGCCCUUCGGGGUACACGAGUGGCGAACGGGUGAGUAACACGUGGGUGAUCUGCCCUGCACUUCGGGAUAAGCCUGGGAAACUGGGUCUAAUACCGGAUAGGACCACUGCCUGCAUGGGGGGUGGUGGAAAGCUUUUGCGGUGUGGGAUGGGCCCGCGGCCUAUCAGCUUGUUGGUGGGGUGAUGGCCUACCAAGGCGACGACGGGUAGCCGGCCUGAGAGGGUGACCGGCCACACUGGGACUGAGGUACGGCGCAGACUCCUACGGGAGGCAGCAGGGGGGAGUAUUGCACAAUGGGCGCAAGCCUGAUGCAGCGACGCCGCGUGAGGGAUGACGGCCUUCGGGUUGUAAACCUCUUUCAGCACCGACGAAGCGCAAGUGACGGUAGGUGCAGAAGAAGGACCGGCCAACUACGUGCCAGCAGCCGCCGUAA